Molecule: long non-coding RNA, 579 nt
Organism: Myotis brandtii (Brandt's bat)
Lineage: Eukaryota; Metazoa; Chordata; Mammalia; Chiroptera; Vespertilionidae
Exons: 3
Source: RefSeq, a predicted model, not a curated record
GACUGCACCGACGCCCGCCGGCGAAGCACGUGAGCCCUGUUUGGUCACAGCGAGAGCACCGUCCUACGGGUGCUCUGCCUGGAUUCUGGGGUCCGGAGCUGGGAAACAGCAACAAAAACAGGGCCAGGUUAUUUAUUAUGCUGCCCGGACGAGAAUGAAUGGGGCCCCGCUCUCACACGGAGAAGAGCGAACGUGACGCCUCCGUCCCUGAAGACUGAGGCUCUGAUAUUAAAGGGGCAAUUAAUCACCGCGGGCCUUGGGCAGAGGGGCGUCCCGUCUGGAGAGAGGGAGGAUGGUCUGGCAGGUAAGUCACCUCGGCGAGAGGGGGCUGCACAGAGCUCAGGAGCCCCACCUUUGCUGUGCGCCCCCCCCCCUCCUGUGGGAAAAGGUCUGAAGGUCUGGUUGCCCCCUAGGCCGUGGGAGCAGCCACUUCGGAUUAAGCAGGAUCCUAAAUAAUAAAUUCUGUCCAGAGGGCCAGGUACUAGUACUUGACAAACUUGAGAGAACACGUUUAUUGAUGGUGCCAGCCCACUGAGCAGAUGAACUGAAUGAAGAACUAAUAUAGGAGCCAGGCUGGUG